CCUACGGGAGGCUGCAGUGGGGGAUAUUGCACAAUGGGGGAAACCCUGAUGCAGCGACGCCGCGUGAGUGAAGAAGCAUCUCGGUACGUAAAGCCCUAUCAGCAGGGAAGAAAAUGACGGUACCUGACUAAGAAGCCCCGGCUAACUACGUGCCAGCAGCCGCGGUAAUACGUAGGGGGCAAGCGUUAUCCGGAUUUACUGGGUGUAAAGGGAGCGUAGACGGCGCUGCAAGUCCGGAGUGAAAGCCCAUGGCUGAACCAUGGUACUGCUCUGGAAACUGUAGGGCUGGAGUGCGGGAGGGACAGGCGGAAUUCCUGGUGUAGCGGUGAAAUGCGUAGAUAUUAGGAGGAACACCGGCGGCGAAGGCGGCCUGCUGGACCGUAACUGACGUUGAGGCUCGAAAGCGUGGGGAGCAAACAGGAUUAGAUACCCGAGUAGUC
Molecule: ribosomal RNA, 440 nt
Filed under: uncultured bacterium
Lineage: Bacteria
Description: partial 16S ribosomal RNA
Rfam family: Bacterial small subunit ribosomal RNA
Source: RNAcentral